This 72-nucleotide transfer RNA is filed under the name Deltaproteobacteria bacterium. RNAcentral's name for it is "tRNA-Ile". It matches the Rfam family "tRNA". From Rfam's summary of the family: Transfer RNA (tRNA) molecules are approximately 80 nucleotides in length. Their secondary structure includes four short double-helical elements and three loops (D, anti-codon, and T loops). Lineage: Bacteria; Pseudomonadati; Myxococcota; Myxococcia. The record is from RNAcentral.
GGGUCUGUAGCUCAGCGGUAGAGCACUCGGCUCAUAACCGAAUGUGCGUAGGUUCAAAUCCUGCCAGGCCCA